CGAACGGUAACAGGAAGCAGCUUGCUGCUUCGCUGACGAGUGGCGGACGGGUGAGUAAUGUCUGGGAAACUGCCUGAUGGC
This 81-nucleotide ribosomal RNA is filed under the name Salmonella enterica subsp. enterica. Its description in RNAcentral is "partial 16S ribosomal RNA". Lineage: Bacteria; Pseudomonadati; Pseudomonadota; Gammaproteobacteria; Enterobacterales; Enterobacteriaceae. The record is from RNAcentral.